RNAcentral lists this unclassified non-coding RNA (602 nucleotides) under Serratia fonticola. RNAcentral's name for it is "partial contains 16S ribosomal RNA, 16S-23S ribosomal RNA intergenic spacer, and 23S ribosomal RNA". The stretch from base 308 to 380 matches the Rfam family "tRNA". The record is from RNAcentral. Lineage: Bacteria; Pseudomonadati; Pseudomonadota; Gammaproteobacteria; Enterobacterales; Yersiniaceae.
CCUAAAGAUAUGCAGUUGAGUGCAGUGUCCACACAGAUUGUCUGAUGAAAAAGUAACGAGCAGAAAUACCUUUAUAGGCUUGUAGCUCAGGUGGUUAGAGCGCACCCCUGAUAAGGGUGAGGUCGGUGGUUCAAGUCCACUCAGGCCUACCAAAUUCGCACUUAUGCUGCGUUAUGCGCGCGGUCGUUUACCCAAAAGUAAACUUCCCUUCCGCAUGCCUUGCCUAAGCACGAAUUAACAGGGUUUCCAACAGGAAAGACUGUUAUUCACGCGAGUGGUAAAUAAAGGUUUCUGCAAGUGACUGUAUGGGGCUAUAGCUCAGCUGGGAGAGCGCCUGCCUUGCACGCAGGAGGUCAGCGGUUCGAUCCCGCUUAGCUCCACCAUAUCCAUAUGGUCCUUGAUAAUACUUCAGAGUGUACUGGCAACAGUAUGCUGCGAAGUAUUUUGCUCUUUAACAAUCUGGAACAAGCUGAAAAUUGAAACAUGACAGCUGAAACUUAUCCCUCCGUAGAUGUAUUGGGGUAAGGAUUAACCUGUCAUAGAGUCUCUCAAAUAAACAGCACGACAGUGUCUCUGUUUACAGAAACACCUUCGGGUUGUGA